GGUGGAUGAACAUUGAACUGGAUGGAACUCAUGAAAGUGAGGAAGUGAUCAUGAAUAUGUCCGCCAUGUUUACCUCGUGGGAUUUUGGUUUCAUAUAUUCUUAAGUUUGUUGGUUUCAUCGCGACUGAAAUGAAGUAAUCAUAGCAAUGACAAACGAAAUAGACUGUAGCGGUGCAUCUCAUCCAGUAUGGUUGGUGAAGGUACCAAAGUACUUGGCAAGUGUUUUAAAUCAUGCAGAUGAUACUGGUGCUGUUGGGACACUGCUCAUCAACAAGAAUCCCAAAGAAAAGGAGGUGAUUUUCCGCCUUUCUGAAUCCCUUGUACAAGCUGCAUCAGAGGGUUCUCCUGCACCCAGCGAAUAUAAGUUAACUUUAUUAAAAGAAGAACAGAGUCGAGCUGUAUUCUCGGAAGCAGUAAGAUCAGAGCUUGAUGAUAAUGUUGGUGAUAGAGAAGAUGAAGAAGGAACUGUUAUGAGAAAUGAAAUAUGCCUAGAAGGUGUUAUUACCCAACGAGGUGACUGCAGAGCAACACAAACACCACAGUACAUGAAUUUGAAAAAGAACAGUAUGCUGUCUGCUAUGGCACCUGUGCGUAAAGUUGAACAUCUACCAAACAUUGUGUCCAAUGUUUACAAACCUAUAUCACAGCACAAACAAGAUGAGGAACAUGAAAAGAAAAAGAAACAGGAUGGGAAAAGAGCAAGGGCAGAUAAAGAUUAUGUUCUUGAUUUAUUGUUCAAAGCAUUUGAACGACAUCAAUAUUACUUCCUGAAAGACCUGAUCAAAAUAACUCAACAACCAGUGGAACAUUUAAAAGAAAUCCUCAAGAGCAUCUGUAUAUACAACACGAAGAAUCCACACAAGAACAUGUGGGAACUAAAGCCAGAAUAUAGACAUUAUGAUACCAGAGAAACUCCGACAUGAUCAUGUUAAAGUAUGAAGUAUCUGUGGAAACCUGUAUCUAUAUACAUUGGGAGAUUUGGUCCUUGUACUGCUGCUUUCUAUUUCAAACAAAAUUUAUUAUCUUAGUCUGAAGAUAUAAACAUGUGUGCAACAGUAUAACACAAUGCUUCCAUCCAUAUGUAUGCCAACAUUGACUGUGAGCAAUUUUGUGUUGAGAAAAAUUGUUUCCGAAAUAUUGGGAAAUGCUUUUUUAUUACCUUUAUU
Dendronephthya gigantea is the source of this 1166-nucleotide RNA transcript. It is a transcript of the gene named general transcription factor IIF subunit 2-like, with no coding region annotated. The transcript is spliced from 11 exons. Lineage: Eukaryota; Metazoa; Cnidaria; Anthozoa; Malacalcyonacea; Nephtheidae. The record is from RefSeq and is a predicted model, not a curated record.